GACGAACGCUGGCGGCGUGCUUAACACAUGCAAGUCGAACGGAAAGGCCCUGCUUUUGUGGGGUGCUCGAGUGGCGAACGGGUGAGUAACACGUGAGUAACCUGCCCUUGACUUUGGGAUAACUUCAGGAAACUGGGGCUAAUACCGGAUAGGAGCUCCUGCUGCAUGGUGGGGGUUGGAAAGUUUCGGCGGUUGGGGAUGGACUCGCGGCUUAUCAGCUUGUUGGUGGGGUAGUGGCUUACCAAGGCUUUGACGGGUAGCCGGCCUGAGAGGGUGUCCGGCCACAUUGGGACUGAGAUGCGGCCCAGACUCCUACGGGAGGCAGCAGUGGGGAAUAUUGCACAAUGGGCGGAAGCCUGAUGCAGCAACGCCGCGUGCGGGAUGACGGCCUUCGGGUUGUAAACCGCUUUCGCCUGUGACGAAGCGUGAGUGACGGUAAUGGGUAAAGAAGCACCGGCUAACUACGUG
Molecule: ribosomal RNA, 468 nt
Filed under: uncultured bacterium
Lineage: Bacteria
Description: partial 16S ribosomal RNA
Rfam family: Bacterial small subunit ribosomal RNA
Source: RNAcentral